AUUCUACCCAUGCGGGGAAGGAUGAGAAGCUUCGACUAAGGUUCGAUUCGAGCGAAAGCGAGAAAGCGUUGCCGCAGGCAACGACCCGAAGGGCGAAACGCGCAGCGCUGAGUCAUCCUUCCCCCACCACCA
Molecule: small RNA, 132 nt
Filed under: Salmonella enterica subsp. enterica serovar Potsdam
Lineage: Bacteria; Pseudomonadati; Pseudomonadota; Gammaproteobacteria; Enterobacterales; Enterobacteriaceae
Also listed under: 5 other names
Description: RtT sRNA
Rfam family: RtT RNA
About the family: This family represents a bacterial cis-regulatory element known as RtT RNA.
Source: RNAcentral